UAGGGAAUCUUCCACAAUGGGCGCAAGCCUGAUGGAGCAACACCGCGUGAGUGAAGAAGGGUUUCGGCUCGUAAAGCUCUGUUGUUAAAGAAGAACACGUAUGAGAGUAACUGUUCAUACGUUGACGGUAUCUAACCAGCAAGUCACGGCUAACUACGUGUCAG
Molecule: ribosomal RNA, 164 nt
Filed under: uncultured bacterium
Lineage: Bacteria
Description: partial 16S rRNA
Rfam family: Bacterial small subunit ribosomal RNA
Source: RNAcentral